GCAUGCAGGGGUGUGAGCCAGAGACAGGGGAAGAGGCUGAAAGAGACAGAGAUAAGAGAAGCAAAAAAGAGGGGUGGAAGGGAGGGCAAGAGAUGGGAACGGGUGCUGGGGCAGGCAGCGAAGGGAGAAAGAUGGGAGGAGAUGUGGACGGAAAGGCUAAAGGCACACACGAUGGAACUCAUAAAGAUGCGAUGGUGCGAGAGCCUGAGGGAGGGAGGCAAGUUCUGGAGGAAGAGUUGGGGACAGACUGCGAUAAGAGUGAGGAGAGGUGAGGACGGGAAGAUGUCUGCAUUAGAGAGCUAAAUAAGCAGCAUGCAAGGUAUAAGCCAAACACAAUACUGCUGACUGUCCAUUACUUUGGGGUCAACAAUUUAGACACCUUCUGAGACGUCAUGAUCAAUGCCUUCAAGCGACUCUCCACUAACAGACCCCUACAAAUAUACACAUGAAACCCACAAAAGGAGAGACUGAGUCAUAGAAUAGAAAUCCGGAGGCCAGUGUACAUGUGGGAAUCCAGAUUUUAAGGGACCAGUGAUGGAGUAACCAGCCAAGUUUCUGAAGACCUAAGACUUAGCAUGGCAAGCUGGACUCUGCCUUUUCCCCCAGCCUUUCUUUAGGCUGAGGAAGUAGCUGAGCUCUGCAAAGACUAGCUCCCCCAAGCAACUCUCAGGACCAGGGGAGGCCCUAAGAACAUUAACUCAAGCAAUAUAAAGGAGAAAUGUUCUCCCCGCCCCACUCCCUGCCAGCCACAUUUAAGGUCCCAGAGGCCAGAUGUCUGGUUAUAGCUAGAGCCCAAGGAGUCUCUUUAGCAGCAGGAAGAGCCUUAUUACAGCUGGUUGGGCCUCCCAGAGCUAAACUCAGAGGCUGCAGGGCAACAACUGGGGUCAUUUACCUCUUUCGACACCCAUCCCAAAGAGGCACGGGUGGAUGGCCACCAGGGGACAGGAUCACAGG
This 954-nucleotide long non-coding RNA is filed under the name Equus caballus (horse). RNAcentral's name for it is "lncRNA (ENSECAG00000044212.1)". Lineage: Eukaryota; Metazoa; Chordata; Mammalia; Perissodactyla; Equidae. The record is from RNAcentral.